AUUGAACGCUGGCGGCAUGCCUUACACAUGCAAGUCGAACGGCAGCGCGGACUUCGGUCUGGCGGCGAGUGGCGAACGGGUGAGUAAUACAUCGGAACGUACCCUGUUGUGGGGGAUAACUAGUCGAAAGAUUAGCUAAUACCGCAUACGACCUGAGGGUGAAAGUGGGGGACCGCAAGGCCUCACGCAGCAGGAGCGGCCGAUGUCUGAUUAGCUAGUUGGUGGGGUAAAGGCCCACCAAGGCGACGAUCAGUAGCUAGUCUGAGAGGACGAUCAGCCACACUGGGACCGAGACACGGCCCAGACUCCUACGGGAGGCAGCAGUGGGGAAUUUUGGACAAUGGGGGCAACCCUGAUCCAGCAAUGCCGCGUGUGUGAAGAAGGCCUUCGGGUUGUAAAGCACUUUUGUCCGGAAAGAAAUCGCGCUGGUUAAUACCUGGCGUGGAUGACGGUACCGGAAGAAUAAGCACCGGCUAACUACGUG
RNAcentral lists this ribosomal RNA (484 nucleotides) under uncultured bacterium. RNAcentral's name for it is "partial 16S ribosomal RNA". It matches the Rfam family "Bacterial small subunit ribosomal RNA", at positions 30 to 507 of the family's 1533-position model. The record is from RNAcentral.